RNAcentral lists this ribosomal RNA (467 nucleotides) under uncultured bacterium. Its description in RNAcentral is "partial 16S ribosomal RNA". It matches the Rfam family "Bacterial small subunit ribosomal RNA", at positions 29 to 507 of the family's 1533-position model. The record is from RNAcentral.
ACGAACGCUGGCGGCGUGCUUAACACAUGCAAGUCGAACGGAAAGGCCCUGCUUUUGUGGGGUGCUCGAGUGGCGAACGGGUGAGUAACACGUGAGUAACCUGCCCUUGACUUUGGGAUAACUUCAUGAAACUGGGGCUAAUACCGGAUAGGAGCUCCUGCUGCAUGGUGGGGGUUGGAAAGUUUCGGCGGUUGGGGAUGGACUCGCGGCUUAUCAGCUUGUUGGUGGGGUAGUGGCUUACCAAGGCUUUGACGGGUAGCCGGCCUGAGGGGGUGACCGGCCACAUUGGGACUGAGAUACGGCCCAGACUCCUACGGGAGGCAGCAGUGGGGAAUAUUGCACAAUGGGCGGAAGCCUGAUGCAGCAACGCCGCGUGCGGGAUGACGGCCUUCGGGUUGUAAACCGCUUUCGCCUGUGACGAAGCGUGAGUGACGGUAAUGGGUAAAGAAGCACCGGCUAACUACGUG